Neopelma chrysocephalum (saffron-crested tyrant-manakin) is the source of this 409-nucleotide long non-coding RNA. RefSeq lists it as uncharacterized. The record is from RefSeq and is a predicted model, not a curated record. NCBI's taxonomy places the organism in Eukaryota, Metazoa, Chordata, Aves, Passeriformes, Pipridae. The transcript has 3 exons.
AGGAGGAAGGAGUGAGUGGCAGACACAACAUCUGAUGAACUGACUGCAACCCCCGCUCCCUGUCCCCCUGAGCUGGAAGGGGGAGGAGGUAGAGAAUAUGGGAGUAAAGUUGAGCCCAGGAAAAAGGGAGGGGUGGGAUAGUUCUGCUGACUAUUUUGUGAGUUCAGUAUUAUAGCAGCACUAGAUGCAAGCUUCAGCAAAUCUAUUUAAAAGGUAUUAUCUUGCAAGAUUUGAAAGACACUGACAGGAGACAGAUGAUGGAAUGACUUUCUUCUUUUGCCUGAGCAAAAAAACUUGCAUUGCUGCUCUGGUGUGCAAAUAAAUCACUAUCUCAAGUCCUGAGUGGUGUAAAAGCACAGAAGUGGCUUGAAACAACUCAUCAGUGACAUCCAAAUAGUCCUGUUUGUAA